GAACACAGAGCUCAGAGAAAUCUGUACCAAGAUCUGUAGGACUUGUGUUAGCAAGUUGUGAUCAUGCAUUCCACUAAGGAAAUGAACAAGAAUGGCCUUGACCAUUCACUACAUUUCAGCAAGCACCUAGAGAUGCUUUGCAGAAGUCAACAAUUUUGGCCAUCGCAAGGAAUGUUGCCAGCCUCCCAGACAAACAUGGCCAUUCUGUCAUAUCCAAAGAAGGGAGAUUUCAGGUUUUAUAUCAGUUUCACACUGAUUGCAAGGUAUGGGAAGGCCUAGGGUCACGACACAGACAAGGGGCUGACAACAGGAGAUGAUGAAGGACAGGGCUGCAGGUAAGUCCGUAAAUAAGCCUGAGGUCCACCCAGGAGGCAAAGACAAGAGCAUGUAGCUCUGUUGUGAGGUAAAAUGGAGACCCUGAGCCCAAGGGAAGAGGGUUUAUGAGUUGGGGAUUCCAGAUGUGGCUACUUGGGGGAAUUAAGGCCCAUUGGUACCAUCCAGAAUCUGACACAGAAACAUCCGUCAAGUCCAAUCCUCCUGGGUUAUGGGCAACGCUCUUUCCUUGGUAUAUUAGUUGACCUCUGUCUCUCACAUAGUGUGCCUGAGCAUGUCUGCAGUGCAAACCUCAGUGACGGCUACACUGCAGAUAGAGUGCUGUCCAACUCCUUCAUUGCUCUGGAAGAUGCAAAAGCAUGGGGUGGAUGUUCUGUGCACUGAGCCCCAUUAGCUGGUUCAUGGAUGAAAGCUUCUGGAAGUCCACUGCUUGCCUCCAUCUGUCAUUUAUCUGCAUUCCUCCCACGGAGCCAGCAGAGUUUAUUUUUUUUAACCUACUGUUGGAUAAUAAGACAGAUGUCCACACUGGGUCUCGUUUUGAAUAGAUCUAAACUAAAAACAAAUGUAUUUAGAGGGGAUGAAUAAAUGUGUGUGUUUUUCCUGUUCCAGAAUGUCUGACUAAUGCAAGAAAGAAUGGCUGGAUCCCAUUUUAUUUUUUGAGGGAGCUACCUUAGAGAUGGGAAAGUGAAGUACCCAUUGAAGUACCAACUGAAGUAAAGGGAUAUUCAGAGUAAGAAGUGACUUUUGUGAUGUUUCCAUAGGGCAAAGUAAAAUGUGAGACGAUAUUGAUGAAAAUGUGCAAAAUGCAAGAGAAGUGGUGUUUUCCUGCUGCCUCCCAGCUAGGUCUUCUGGGAUGGGCUGAAGUCACCCAGCACAGAGGUGAAGUGUUUGGAUGGGGAACAGGGCACCACUUUGAUGGAAGCUGAGUUACUUACGGAGGAAGGACAUGUUGUCAGAUUCCUUUCAAAGCCCAAGGUAGCAUUGCUAAGGUGGAGAUCAACUCUUGAACAGAGAUCAGAACCACCUAGGAUCAGGGAAAAACAAAAAGAAGAAAACAAGCAGGGGUGACGUGAAGUAGCAGAGGAAGGCUCAGAUCAAAGGAGAAGGGCAGCCCCAGAGCCACCACACUGCCUCUGAAGACAAAGAGCUGUCUGGUUCUGGUGGGGUUUCCCCCGCCGGUCCCAACGCACGCCCUCGCAUGUGGGGUCUGUUUGGACAGCUGGGUGUCACUGACCCCAGGUGCUCAGAGUGCUCAGUGGGCUCAGCAGUGCCGGCAGCUCAACGGGGGGGCUGCCCAAAGUGUGUGUGUGUGUGGUCAGGGCACCACGCUCCCUCCCAGAGCAAGGGAUUACAGACAGCAUAGCUGAGAAAGUCAGAAUGCUUCAGAAGGAAGCAGGAGAAUUCAGCAGUGCAACUGCCUAACGUUAAUCAAUAGGGUCUACUUUACCUUCUUUUAAAGCAGUCAUUAGUGAUGCAUUUGCAUUUAUCUCAUGCCCUUGAAGUCUUAGAUAUCUCUGAUGUCUUCCUGUCCACAUGGAUCUUUCUACAGCUGAAAAGGGCAAUCAGAUCAGCCCAGCCCAGGCUUGCAAAAGGAGGAGAAGCAAGUCAUCUGUCACCUCUCAAAUAUAGGAGUGGGAGCCAGCAUCCUAGGACAGACAUCUGUCAGGGAGGGGGAUGGCUGGGAAACACAGGGACCUGAGGACUGGGUGCUCAUCUUCAUCGGUGGGAUGCAAGCAAGUCCCAUCCCAGCUCUCUCUCCUAGUUUCCAGCUGCCAGAACCUUUUGUUGUAUGCUUUCAUAUGGCAAAAAUGGAUCCCUCUCCCUAGAAAAUCAGACAAAAAAAGGUUCAGAGUUGGGAGGAGGAAAGCAAGACUUGAGAUGGUAAAGUACAAAAUUCACUGGGUAGGAAUUUCAGCAGAAGCAAAUUCUCCUCUUUACAGACAAAAAGCAAAGGAAGUGCAGAUGAAGGACCUCUGAGACCUCAGGACCUCUGAGAAUUUGUCAGGGAAAGUCCUCCUUGAUGCUGCACCACAGCUGCCUCUUUCCCCUCUAGGACAAACUCAUAGGCAUUGCAACGUGGAGGGUCUUUGCCUAACGAAAGUGCUGUGAGAGCUGCUGCUGACACCAGGAUUGGCAGAAUGAUAGCUCACUGCAAGUGACAGGCAUGUCACGUUGCUUAACCAAACUGUCGAAGUGUCACUGUGUUUAAGUCUCUUCCUUAUCCUAGCUGUGUUUUGGCAUUUAGUCCAUUCUACCCCAAAAUCUGGUUCAGAACCAGAAAACAAUGUGUAUCAGUUCUUACCCUCCAGAUCUACCCUCCUUCUAAAGUAGAUGAAACUUCUCCAUUUGGGAAUCCUCACCUAUCUGCUUCUUCCCCAUGCUGGAGACCUUUGGCUUCACCCAUUUCUUCCUGCAGAUGACUGCAGCCUCUUCCUGUUGGGGUUUAACAAUGCUUCUGCUGUCUCUGGUUAAGAUUUCCAAAGCUGUCUAAUGGUCCUGAUGUCUGAGGGAGUCCUGUUCAGACAUUAGCUGUCAUGGAAGCUUAACACUGAGAGGGACCAUCAGUGAGUGGUCUCUCGCUCAGCCCUGCUCAGAGCAGCUUUAGUUUCAAAGUUUGACCAGAUCUCUCAGUGCCUCCUCUGCUCUAAUUCCGAAAGUCUCCAGGGAAAUUCAGUAUUUAAGCCACUGUCCAGAGCAUCAGUUGAGUCCAGGCAUCUCCUAUUCUCCAGCAGCUGUGAAAAUCCCCGUCCUAAUCUCCACUUUGGAACUGUCAGAUCCAAAUCUCAAUGGCAUUCACUGACUACCACUUGCUUUAUUAGCAGAAACUGAUGCAGCAAGCAUGCCAUGCUGGAUGACUCCAAACAUCAUUUCAACAUUUGGAAGACAUUGCUGCCCUCUGGCACUCCUGAGUGUGAGAAACAGCUGAACUCCUGAGGCCACAAUGUCACCCUAAGUGAGGUCCUUCUGAAACUCCUCUCCCUGUUUUAAUUUCCCUUAGCACAUUACUCGCCCUAAGAGCUUUGCUUCACUUGUUAGGUUUGGCAUCUCUUUUGUACUAUUUUUGGAGGAUUCCAGAACACGUUUCUGAUUUUGGCCAUCUUCAUCUUCUUAUAAUUACUAAUAAUAUUUUUCCUUCCACUCACUGGAUUCAUUCCCAUGUUGGCUGCAAGGCUUCAACACCAAUGACUGUUUAAUUCAAC
This 3533-nucleotide long non-coding RNA is filed under the name Gallus gallus (chicken). Its description in RNAcentral is "lncRNA (ENSGALG00010015630.1)". The record is from RNAcentral. Lineage: Eukaryota; Metazoa; Chordata; Aves; Galliformes; Phasianidae.